Lonchura striata (white-rumped munia) is the source of this 3802-nucleotide non-coding RNA. The record is from RefSeq and is a predicted model, not a curated record. Lineage: Eukaryota; Metazoa; Chordata; Aves; Passeriformes; Estrildidae.
AAGUAUUUCUCUCUGGCUCAAGCUGAAAUAAAGCAUUUUUUUCUCUUUAGAUUAUUAAACCAAGGAUCUAAAAGAGAAAAUAAAAAAGAUAAAAUGUUCAAGUGUUUGAGCACUUUGGAAAUUAAGCAUCUCACAGAGCUAUUGCCAGCUGAAGGGAUUUGCUGCAUUUGUUUUAUCUCCAUUUUUGGAAGCCAGGAUAUUCCCUGAAUGAAUCCCAAUUUAUUGGAAAUUCUCCCCCAGCUGUGCUAAAUGUGUGUUUAAACACUUUGCUGAACAGAGGCUCAAGGUGAUUUAAUCCAGGCUCAGCCUGGCCACAUCUCCUGUCUUUACACUUGUAUUUUUCCUGAGUGAUGUUGGCCUCUGAUAGGAAAAGGAAACAAGCUGUUCUCCAUUUUAAGGAAACUCCUAUUUUUUAUUUCAGAAUUAAAUAUUUUUGGGGAAAAAAAAAAAGAAGAAAAACACUCAAAAAGAAAGUUAUUUCCUUUCAGGCCUUGAAUAUGCACAGAGCCUUUAGACAUAUUUUAUAGACAUGGAACAGAGUAAGGGUGGUAGUGUUUCCCUAUGGAGCUAGAGUGGAGAGAUAUCUUUGUUAUCUCUCUGUAAAUCUUCUGCCAUCUCCCAUCAGUUCUGUGUGCACACAGUGACUCUGAUCUGUCCUGAAUGCAACAACUGCUGAGGUUCAGUCUGGGCAGUGCCUUCUUCCUGCCAACACCAACAUCAUCUUUUCUCCUUGAGGUUCAGCUGUAAAAUAAGGGGAAAAUUCCCAUAUUCUUCACCUCCUGCCUCAAAAAGCCUUGUAGAAGAAGCCAGAAAAUUAUAUUGCACCAGAUAUCUAUUCCUGCUUUUAUGGGUUUAUCUCCACAUUCUGGGAAAUUACCACAAUCAGAUUUCAUAUUUAAUAUAAAAAUAGUAGGGCAGAUGAUAUCAUAUCCUCAAAGCUAACUAAAUUUUGUGUUGUGAAGUCUUGCUUAAUCAAAGUUUCAUUUCCAUUUGUUCAGGGCAUAUUUUGUCACUUUUAUUUUUUACUGACAAUUUUCUGUAGAUCUCAUAGAUGGAUCCAACCCAGAGGUCUCUGAAGAACAGGGGACUCGGGGUAAGGUCUGAACUUAAUUCAAUUUAAUUCCUGACCCUUUAAGUAUUCUUCAAAAUGAAUAAACUGGAAAUGAAUCUGGCAGGAGGGUCCCACGUCACCUGCUGGAAGGAAAUAUUUGGAAUUUAGCUAGAAAUAAACACCAUAUUUGAAAUUCAGCUAGAAAUAAACACCAUACAAACAUCCAGGUUUUUGCUGUUUAAAAUUCAAUAGAAAUAAAGCCUGUUAAAGGCAGGAUUCUUCUUGCCCUCUCCCCCUCCCAGCACACAGACAAUGUUCCAGGCUCCUGGCUCUGUGUGCCUUGCACAAAUAUUUGUCUGUGUGUCGCUGCCACUCCACUGCAAUCGUGGCAUCUGGUAGUAGCUGGGAGACUGGGAGGUGCUUGGGAAUCUCAGCAGGAAAAAGAGAGUGGAUUUCAGACACGAGAUCUACAACAGCUUUUGAGCCUGCAUAAACAGGAUGAGGUUGUUGUGCUUUUGGCAGGGGUUUGUUCUGCCCCAGACACCUGCAGGGGUUCCCCUCCAGCCUCUCUCAAACGCAGCCCUGGGGACACAGCGCCUGCCCCACUACACCCACCCCAGUCCUGCAGCCUUCAGGCCACAGAUCAGGGCCAGAGGGAGCAAAGGAUUUGGUUUUUCUGCUCACCCAAAUCAUAGAAUGACAGAAUGGUUUGGGUUGGAGGGGACCUUAAAGCUCCUUGGGACGUGGAAAUUGUGUUCUGUGUGUGUUCAGCACGUAAAGAUUCCAACUCUGGGAUUCUGGAUCAGGGAUUUUAGAAAGGGCAAAGAAAAUAUCUUCCAUGGCACACACAGUCUGUGGCUCUGCAGGUGAACAAGGCAGCAAACCCUGUGUGUCCUCGAGAACAGAACUUUGCCUUUUGAUUUAUCUACAUUUGGAGGCUCAGAAUUUUUCAUAAACCUACAGUAACUUACACACUGUCAGGCUCCACUUCAGGAGAAUACAAAUGCACUUGCACAAACUUCAGCACCGAACUCCCUCAGGAAUCAAAUGAAAGUCAAGCACUUGGCUGCACUGAGGAUUAAAGGAUGUUUCCAUAAACUUAUGUGAAAACCUCUUUAUCCUGUGUUACUUAAAGCUGUACAUUCAUCCCAAGUCAUGUUCAGAAACAUAACUCCCUCCCCUGUGAUUUUCCAAAGCAUUUUAGUGUUUUCAGGUGCCCAGCAUGACAUAUUCCAAUUAAUCCUGAUUUUCUAAGCACCUGCCUCUUGUAAUUGGUCCCUUUCAGAGUGUCUCAAACACAAAUAUAAGGUGUCCAAAAUUGCUAACUUCUUUUGAAAAUCCAGAACCAUGAUGAACAGUCUACCUACAAGAGUCCAGCCCAGAUGAAAAUUGCAUGGAUUCAAGCCCCCCAAAAUCAGAGGCAAUAGACAAUACCUGCUCCUGUGGAAUGACAAUGCACCCUGCCAUUAGAGUAAAGUUUCUCUUAGAAAGGAGAAAAUUGCACCAUUCCCAGUGAGAACAAGUGCAAAUCUUUUCACUUCAGCUCACAAAAUUAUUAAUGUUGUGGUCUGUAAUUCUGGCUAAUCAAAUAUUCCAUUGCUCUGUGUUGCCAGUCGAAUGUUCAUGGAGAAAUCAAUGCCACAGAGAGAUUGAAAACUUACCCUGAAUUCCUUCCCUCAGACAAGGAGUCCCCAUCUGGAGGGCAAAGGCUCCAGCAAAGGGCAGUGCUUUGCAGGCUCAGCCCUUGCAUGGAUCAGGAGCAAUGGAAAUUUCUCAGGAGCAAGGAGAGCAAAGGCCAGUUCAGACAAACUCUUUCCCAAGUGGGAAAGAGCUGGGAAUGUUUAAAGAGUUUUCAGUUGCUCCAAUGGGUUGUUUAGAUCUGCUCAGAAAGAAUCUGUACCCUGAAAGCAGAGGGGACAGGAGGACAGUGCACGGCUGAAUCCAGAUGCCACCAGGAUCAGGGAGCAGCAGCAGAGCUGUGCCCUUGCACAGUGCCUGGCUCUGGUGACAGGGACAGGGACAGCCCUGGGACAGGACAGGACUGACUCCCACUCUGGAAAAGGUGGCAGCAGCUCUGGUUCGACCAGCUCCUCCUCAGCCCUGCCCGAGGCACAGCGAGAGAUGAGGAACAAACUGAGAAAAGACAAUGGUUUGACUGAUUUUUGCAAUCCUAAUCUGAAACCUAAAGCCAUUCCUAAAUAAGGCACCUCAAAUCCCUUGUUUAUAAAGAUAGACCUUGUGAUCCCCAUUUCCAGGGUACCAGAAAACCAAAUUCAGUGAUAUCUGUAAAGCUCUGGUGAUCUGCGAGCAAAUGGAACCAGAGAACAGAAAAAGGUGAUUAUCCUGUCAGGUUUGGCCUGGGAGGAAGAUUAUCCAUCUAUCUUGCCAGACCUAUUUAUCGUCUGAUUUUCCCCUGGCUUAGCUUUUAUCACCUUUCUAAUCCUCCCCAUCUAAUUCAGACAACAUUUUAUCUCAGCAGUUCUCACCCAGUGCUGACGAAGGUGGGCUUGGAGCUCUGAGCAGGUUUUACGUGACCUCAUGAGGGGCUGCACAGGAGCAGUUUUCCUUUUUGUUAACACGAGCAGAGAACCGAAGAAGCGAUCUCUCGAAGGAUCCCGGCUGGCAGCAGUAUCACCAUCUGACUGAAGAGAACUCAGCCACACGCAUAAUCCUCGGGAAAAUUCAUCUCCACCCUCCCGCAGACCCCGGUGAGAGCCCUUGAAGUGGUAAUUAAAGUCUAUUGAGUGGCAA